RNAcentral lists this ribosomal RNA (105 nucleotides) under Glyptotendipes pallens. RNAcentral's name for it is "partial 18S ribosomal RNA". It matches the Rfam family "Eukaryotic small subunit ribosomal RNA", at positions 1729 to 1831 of the family's 1831-position model. Lineage: Eukaryota; Metazoa; Arthropoda; Insecta; Diptera; Chironomidae. The record is from RNAcentral.
CUCGAUAUUGUGAUUGCUUCGCUAAAGUUGAUCAAACUUGAUGAUUUGGAGGAAAUAAAAGUCGUAACAAGGUUUCCGUAGGUGAACCUGCGGAAGGAUCAUUGA